Molecule: ribosomal RNA, 309 nt
Filed under: uncultured bacterium
Lineage: Bacteria
Description: partial 16S ribosomal RNA
Rfam family: Bacterial small subunit ribosomal RNA
Source: RNAcentral
AGAGACAUCAGCCGCCACGGUAAUACGAGGGGGGCAAGCGUUGUUCGGAAUUAUUGGGCGUAAAGGGUGCGUAGGCGGUUUGGCAAGUUUGGUGUGAAAUCUUCGGGCUCAACUCGAAGUCUGCAUCGAAAACUGCCGGGCUUGAGUAUGGGAGAGGUGAGUGGAGUUUCCGGUGUAGCGGUGAAAUGCGUAGAUAUCGGAAGGAACACCUGUGGCGAAAGCGGCUCACUGGACCAUAACUGACGCUGAUGCACGAAAGCUAGGGGAGCAAACAGGAUUAGAUACCCCGGUAGUCCCUGUCUCUUAUAC